ACGGGUGAGUAACGCGUAGGUAAUCUGCCUUAAGGUCUGAGAUAACCCACCGAAAGGUGAGCUAAUAUCGGAUAAUGCAGCGGCUCCGCAUGGAGACAGUUGUUAAAGCUUCGGCGCCCUAAGAUGAACCUGCGUCCCAUUAGACUGUUGGCGGGGUAACGGCCCACCAAAUCUACGAUGGGUAGCUGGUCUGAGAGGAUGGUCAGCCACACUGGAACUGAGACACGGUCCAGACUCCUACGGGAGGCAGCAGUAAGGAAUAUUGCUCAAUGGCCGAAAGGCUGAAGCAGCAACGCCGCGUGAGGGAUGAAGACCUUUUGGUUGUAAACCUCUGUAGUGAGAGAAAAAUGCUCCGCUCUGCGGAGAUUGAUGGUAUCUCAAAAGUAAGCCCCGGCUAACUACGUGCCAGCAGCCGCGGUAAUACGUAGGGGGCAAGCGUUGUCCGGAUUUACUGGGUGUAAAGGGUGCUCAGGUGGUCGGUCAAGUCAGACGUGAAAUUUCAAAGCUUAACUUUGAAACCGCAUUUGAUACUGUCCGGCUUGCGUACGGAAGAGGUUGAUGGAAUUCCUGGUGUAGCAGU
RNAcentral lists this ribosomal RNA (580 nucleotides) under uncultured bacterium. RNAcentral's name for it is "bacterial SSU rRNA". It matches the Rfam family "Bacterial small subunit ribosomal RNA", at positions 102 to 682 of the family's 1533-position model. The record is from RNAcentral.